Molecule: ribosomal RNA, 875 nt
Filed under: uncultured bacterium
Lineage: Bacteria
Description: bacterial SSU rRNA
Rfam family: Bacterial small subunit ribosomal RNA
Source: RNAcentral
AAUGAACGCUGGCGGCGUGCCUAACACAUGCAAGUCGGAUGUGCCGCAAGGUGCAUGGCAGACGGGUGAGUAACGCGUAGGGAAUCUACCUUUUAGUGGGGAAUAACGCUCCGAAAGGAGUGGUAAUACCGCAUGAGACCGCAGGCUGGGAUGUUUGUGGUGAAACCUGGGGACCGAAAGGCCUGGGGCUAAGAGAGGAUCCUGCGUCUGAUUAGCUAGUUGGCGGGGUAAUGGCCCACCAAGGCGACGAUCAGUAGCCGGCCUGAGAGGGUGAUCGGCCACACUGGAACUGAGACACGGUCCAGACUCCUACGGGAGGCAGCAGUGGGGAAUUUUGCGCAAUGGACGAAAGUCUGACGCAGCAACGCCGCGUGGGUGAUGAAGGUCUUCGGACUGUAAAACCCUGUCGUCAGGGACGAAGGUUGAGGGGUUAAUAACCCUUUAGCUUGACGGUACCUGGAGAGGAAGCCCCGGCUAACUCUGUGCCAGCAGCCGCGGUAAUACAGAGGGGGCAAGCGUUAUUCGGAAUUAUUGGGCGUAAAGGGCGCGUAGGCGGUUUUUUAAGUCAGAUGUGUAAUCCCCGAGCUUAACUUGGGAACUGCAUCUGAGACUGGAAGGCUAGAGUACUGGAGAGGGUGGUGGAAUUCCUCGUGUAGCGGUGAAAUGCGUAGAGAUGAGGAGGAACACCAGUGGCGAAGGCGGCCACCUGGACAGUAACUGACGCUGAGGCGCGAAAGUGUGGGUAGCAAACAGGAUUAGAUACCCUGGUAGUCCACGCUGUAAACGAUGAACACUUGGUGUGGAGGGAGUUGACCCCUUCCGUGCCGGAGCUAACGCGUUAAGUGUUCCGCCUGGGGAGUACGGUCGCAAGGCUG